RNAcentral lists this ribosomal RNA (396 nucleotides) under Caretta caretta (loggerhead turtle). Its description in RNAcentral is "partial 12S ribosomal RNA". It matches the Rfam family "Bacterial small subunit ribosomal RNA", at positions 794 to 1384 of the family's 1533-position model. Lineage: Eukaryota; Metazoa; Chordata; Testudines; Cheloniidae. The record is from RNAcentral.
GCUUAGCCCUAAACUUAGAUAUUUUCCACACAAAAAUAUCCGCCAGAGAACUACGAGCAUAAACGCUUAAAACUCUAAGGACUUGGCGGUACCUCAAACCCUCCUAGAGGAGCCUGUUCUAUAAUCGAUAAUCCACGAUCUACCUCACCAUCCCUUGCCAAACCCGCCUAUAUACCACCGUCACCAGCUUACCCCAUGAGGGCCACAAAAGUAAGCAAAAUAACCUAAACAGUUAAUAAGUCAGGUCAAGGUGUAGCUAACUGAGAUGGAAGAAAUGGGCUACAUUUUCUACUUUAGAAAUAACCACGGAAGAAUACCAUGAAAUAGGUUCCACAAGCAGGAUUUAGCAGUAAACUGGGAACAGAGAGCCCAAUUUAAGCCGGUCCUGAGGUACGC